RNAcentral lists this ribosomal RNA (414 nucleotides) under uncultured bacterium. RNAcentral's name for it is "partial 16S ribosomal RNA". It matches the Rfam family "Bacterial small subunit ribosomal RNA", at positions 355 to 761 of the family's 1533-position model. The record is from RNAcentral.
UAGGGAAUCUUCCACAAUGGACGCAAGUCUGAUGGAGCAACGCCGCGUGAGUGAAGAAGGUUUUCGGACCGUAAAGCUCUGUUGUUGGUGAAGAAGGAUAGAGGUAGUAACUGGCCUUUAUUUGACGGUAAUCAACCAGAAAGUCACGGCUAACUACGUGCCAGCAGCCGCGGUAAUACGUAGGUGGCAAGCGUUGUCCGGAUUUAUUGGGCGUAAAGCGAGCGCAGGCGGAAGAAUAAGUCUGAUGUGAAAGCCCUCGGCUUAACCGAGGAAUUGCAUCGGAAACUGUUUUCUUGAGUGCAGAAGAGGAGAGUAGAACUCCAUGUGUAGCGGUGGAAUGCGUAGAUAUAUGGAAGAAUACCAGUGGCGAAGGCGGCUCUCUGGUCUGCAAACUGACGCUGAGGCUCGAAAGCA